GGUUAAGCGACUAAGCGUACACGGUGGAUGCCCUGGCAGUCAGAGGCGAUGAAGGACGUGCUAAUCUGCGAUAAGCGUCGGUAAGGUGAUAUGAACCGUUAUAACCGGCGAUUUCCGAAUGGGGAAACCCAGUGUGUUUCGACACACUAUCAUUAACUGAAUCCAUAGGUUAAUGAGGCGAACCGGGGGAACUGAAACAUCUAAGUACCCCGAGGAAAAGAAAUCAACCGAGAUUCCCCCAGUAGCGGCGAGCGAACGGGGAGCAGCCCAGAGCCUGAAUCAGUGUGUGUGUUAGUGGAAGCGUCUGGAAAGGCGCGCGAUACAGGGUGACAGCCCCGUACACAAAAAUGCACAUACUGUGAGCUCGAUGAGUAGGGCGGGACACGUGGUAUCCUGUCUGAAUAUGGGGGGACCAUCCUCCAAGGCUAAAUACUCCUGACUGACCGAUAGUGAACCAGUACCGUGAGGGAAAGGCGAAAAGAACCCCGGCGAGGGGAGUGAAAAAGAACCUGAAACCGUGUACGUACAAGCAGUGGGAGCACGCUUCGGCGUGUGACUGCGUACCUUUUGUAUAAUGGGUCAGCGACUUAUAUUCUGUAGCAAGGUUAACCGAAUAGGGGAGCCGAAGGGAAACCGAGUCUUAACUGGGCGUUAAGUUGCAGGGUAUAGACCCGAAACCCGGUGAUCUAGCCAUGGGCAGGUUGAAGGUUGGGUAACACUAACUGGAGGACCGAACCGACUAAUGUUGAAAAAUUAGCGGAUGACUUGUGGCUGGGGGUGAAAGGCCAAUCAAACCGGGAGAUAGCUGGUUCUCCCCGAAAGCUAUUUAGGUAGCGCCUCGUGAACUCAUCUUCGGGGGUAGAGCACUGUUUCGGCAAGGGGGUCAUCCCGACUUACCAACCCGAUGCAAACUGCGAAUACCGGAGAAUGUUAUCACGGGAGACACACGGCGGGUGCUAACGUCCGUCGUGAAGAGGGAAACAACCCAGACCGCCAGCUAAGGUCCCAAAGUCAUGGUUAAGUGGGAAACGAUGUGGGAAGGCCCAGACAGCCAGGAUGUUGGCUUAGAAGCAGCCAUCAUUUAAAGAAAGCGUAAUAGCUCACUGGUCGAGUCGGCCUGCGCGGAAGAUGUAACGGGGCUAAACCAUGCACCGAAGCUGCGGCAGCGACACUAUGUGUUGUUGGGUAGGGGAGCGUUCUGUAAGCCUGUGAAGGUGUGCUGUGAGG
This 1227-nucleotide ribosomal RNA is filed under the name Escherichia coli. Its description in RNAcentral is "partial 23S ribosomal RNA". It matches the Rfam family "Bacterial large subunit ribosomal RNA", at positions 1 to 1268 of the family's 2925-position model. Lineage: Bacteria; Pseudomonadati; Pseudomonadota; Gammaproteobacteria; Enterobacterales; Enterobacteriaceae. The record is from RNAcentral.